CGUCUCCCCAAAGGAAGAGCUUCAGUAGAUUUCCCGGCAGAGGAGGAGGAGAAAAAGGUUUUGCUGUACAUAUUACACGUCCCUUUAGAAUUGUUACCUCGUCGUGUAAUGCGGUGCCAGCACAGGUUUCUACGUUUUUAUGUGCAGCGAAGAACUGGACAAAGCAUACAAUGGGAUAGAACUCAGGUCCUUGCACUUGCGCAUCAGGCGGUGAAACCACUGAGCUAAAUCCUCGGCCCAACAAUAUCUUUUAAAGAAUGUGCACUCGUCUAGGAGAACUAUAAAAGAUUGUGAAGUCCCAAAGACCAGCAGGAGGCCGUUUCCGAUGUAAGCACACGAGGGUCGUUUAUUCAAGCUUAAGCAGGGACUCUCAAUUGUCUCCGACACAGCGGAUCGAGAUUGAGAGCCCCGAGUUCCAAAUUAGCGGGGUUUUUAUAGAGGUUACAGCAAGGUUUGGAGAUUUUCCACUUAGCAAUUACAAUGAUUGGUCAGCGCUUAACAUGCAUGAAGUGUACAUUUCUGAUUGGGUGAACUCAUCAGGGCUAAGGGGUGAUUACGUAUAGGUUUUACAAAAGAAAAGAAGGACAAAGGUUAGUGGGCAACUGUCACGUAUUGAUGGUCAUCAGACUCGGUGACUAAUGGUCACGACCACCCAGCACUGACAGUCAGCACAUUGACAGACUGUUCCUACAGAUAGUGGGCCCAGGAUGUUCAUUUCCUGGGUAAACAGAUGGCUGAGUAAUUAACUUAGGGAUUUUGGUUUGUUACAGAUUGUAUCUUUUGUCCUAGAUCAAGCACAUUUUAAUCAUUAAUGUGAGAGGACAAAGGAGACUACUCCAUUUUGGGCAAAAGUGGAGUCAUUCUGGUUUCACAUAAGCAAAAUGGAGUCACUUUGGUCUCA
This is a long non-coding RNA of Heterocephalus glaber (naked mole-rat), 901 nucleotides long. The record is from Ensembl. Lineage: Eukaryota; Metazoa; Chordata; Mammalia; Rodentia; Bathyergidae.